Molecule: ribosomal RNA, 441 nt
Filed under: Fusobacterium sp. oral taxon A11
Lineage: Bacteria; Fusobacteriati; Fusobacteriota; Fusobacteriia; Fusobacteriales; Fusobacteriaceae
Description: bacterial SSU rRNA
Rfam family: Bacterial small subunit ribosomal RNA
Source: RNAcentral
GAUGAACGCUGACAGAAUGCUUAACACAUGCAAGUCUACUUGAAUUUGGGUUUUUUAACUUAGAUUUGGGUGGCGGACGGGUGAGUAACGCGUAAAGAACUUGCCUCACAGCUAGGGACAACAUUUGGAAACGAAUGCUAAUACCUGAUAUUAUGAUUUUAAGGCAUCUUAGAAUUAUGAAAGCUAUACGCGCUGUGAGAGAGCUUUGCGUCCCAUUAGCUAGUUGGAGAGGUAACGGCUCACCAAGGCGAUGAUGGGUAGCCGGCCUGAGAGGGUGAACGGCCACAAGGGGACUGAGACACGGCCCUUACUCCUACGGGAGGCAGCAGUGGGGAAUAUUGGACAAUGGACCAAGAGUCUGAUCCAGCAAUUCCUGUGUGCACGAUGACGUUUUUCGGAAUGUAAAGUGCUUUCAGUUGGGAAGAAAAAAAUGACGGUACC